AUUGAACGCUGGCGGAAUGCUUUACACAUGCAAGUCGAACGGCAGCACGGACUUCGGUCUGGUGGCGAGUGGCGAACGGGUGAGUAAUGUAUCGGAACGUGCCCAGUCGUGGGGGAUAACGUAGUGAAAAUUACGCUAAUACCGCAUACGAUCUAUGGAUGAAAGCGGGGGAUCGCAAGACCUCGCGCGAUUGGAGCGGCCGAUAUCAGAUUAGGUAGUGGGUGGGGUAAAGGCCCACCAAGCCAACGAUCUGUAGCUGGUCUGAGAGGACGAACAGCCACACUUGAACUGAGACACGGUCCAGACUGCUACGGGAGGCAGCAGUGGGGAAUUUUGGAGAAUGGGCGAAAGCAUGAUCCAGCCAUUCCGCGUGCAGGAUGAAGGCCCUCGGGUUGUAAACUGCUUUUGUACAGAACGAAAAGGUUUCUACUAAUACUAGGAGCUCAUGACGGUACUGUAAGAAUAAGCACCGGCUAACUACGUGCCAGCAGCCGCCGUAA
RNAcentral lists this ribosomal RNA (500 nucleotides) under uncultured bacterium. RNAcentral describes it as "partial 16S ribosomal RNA". It matches the Rfam family "Bacterial small subunit ribosomal RNA", at positions 30 to 523 of the family's 1533-position model. The record is from RNAcentral.